GAUGAACGCUGGCGGCGUGCUUAACACAUGCAAGUCGAACGUGAGGGGGUAGCAAUAUCCUUGAAAGUGGCGCACGGGUGAGUAAUACGUAGGUAACCUGCCCUGGAGUGGGGGAUAACAGCUAGAAAUGGCUGCUAAUACCGCAUGAGGCCGAGACACUGGGAAGUGUUUUGGCGAAAACUCUGGUGCUUCAGGAGGGGCCUGCGGCCGAUUAGCUAGUUGGCGGGGUAAGAGCCCACCAAGGCAUUGAUCGGUAGCUGGUCUGAGAGGACGAUCAGCCACACGGGAACUGAGACACGGUCCCGACUCCUACGGGGGGCAGCAGUGAGGAAUAUUGGGCAAUGGGCGGAAGCCUGACCCAGCAACGCCGCGUGGAGGAAGACGGCCUUC
RNAcentral lists this ribosomal RNA (390 nucleotides) under uncultured bacterium. Its description in RNAcentral is "bacterial SSU rRNA". It matches the Rfam family "Bacterial small subunit ribosomal RNA", at positions 28 to 419 of the family's 1533-position model. The record is from RNAcentral.